Molecule: transfer RNA, 79 nt
Filed under: Bradyrhizobium sp. CB3481
Lineage: Bacteria; Pseudomonadati; Pseudomonadota; Alphaproteobacteria; Hyphomicrobiales; Nitrobacteraceae
Description: tRNA-Pro
Rfam family: tRNA
About the family: Transfer RNA (tRNA) molecules are approximately 80 nucleotides in length. Their secondary structure includes four short double-helical elements and three loops (D, anti-codon, and T loops).
Source: RNAcentral
CAGCGUGUAGGGGAGCCUGGCCGUCCCUACCUGCCUUGGAAGCAGGGGAUCGGUGGUUCGAAUCCACCCACGCUGACCA